Loxodonta africana (African savanna elephant) is the source of this 71-nucleotide transfer RNA. It matches the Rfam family "tRNA". Rfam says of the family: Transfer RNA (tRNA) molecules are approximately 80 nucleotides in length. Their secondary structure includes four short double-helical elements and three loops (D, anti-codon, and T loops). The record is from Rfam. Lineage: Eukaryota; Metazoa; Chordata; Mammalia; Proboscidea; Elephantidae.
GCAGUGGUGGUUCAGUGGUAGGAUGCUCACCCUCCAUGCGGAAGACCUGGGUUCGAUUCCUGGCCAGUACA